Molecule: ribosomal RNA, 446 nt
Filed under: Melanoleuca brevipes
Lineage: Eukaryota; Fungi; Basidiomycota; Agaricomycetes; Agaricales; Pluteaceae
Description: eukaryotic LSU rRNA
Rfam family: Eukaryotic large subunit ribosomal RNA (bases 303-446)
Source: RNAcentral
UGAAUUGCAGAAUUCAGUGAAUCAUCGAAUCUUUGAACGCACCUUGCGCUCCUUGGUAUUCCGAGGAGCAUGCCUGUUUGAGUGUCAUUAAAUUCUCAAUCCUUUCUGGGUUUACUCUCAGUUGGGCUUGGAUAUGGGGGUUUUGCCGGCUUUGUAAAACAAACAAAGUCAGCUCUCCUGAAAGACAUUAGCAAGACUCUUGUUGCAACCUUCUAUCUGGUGUGAUAAUUAUCUACAUCAUAGAUUUGUACACUAUGUCUAGCUUCUAACAGUCCAUUAAAUUGGACAAAACUCUGACAAUUUGACCUCAAAUCAGGUAGGACUACCCGCUGAACUUAAGCAUAUCAAUAAGCGGAGGAAAAGAAACUAACAAGGAUUCCCCUAGUAACUGCGAGUGAAGCGGGAAAAGCUCAAAUUUAAAAUCUGGCAGUCUCUGGCUGUCCGAG